RNAcentral lists this ribosomal RNA (531 nucleotides) under uncultured bacterium. RNAcentral's name for it is "bacterial SSU rRNA". It matches the Rfam family "Bacterial small subunit ribosomal RNA", at positions 979 to 1509 of the family's 1533-position model. The record is from RNAcentral.
CCUUGACAUACUAAGAACUUUCCAGAGAUGGAUUGGUGCCUUCGGGAACUUAGAUACAGGUGCUGCAUGGCUGUCGUCAGCUCGUGUCGUGAGAUGUUGGGUUAUGUCCCGNAACGAGCGCAACCCUUUUCCUUAUUUGCCAGCGGGUCAUGCCGGGAACUUUAAGGAUACUGCCAGUGACAAACUGGAGGAAGGCGGGGACGACGUCAAGUCAUCAUGGCCCUUACGGCCAGGGCUACACACGUGCUACAAUGGUCGGUACAAAGGGUUGCUACCUCGCGAGAGGAUGCUAAUCUCAAAAAGCCGAUCGUAGUCCGGAUCGCAGUCUGCAACUCGACUGCGUGAAGUCGGAAUCGCUAGUAAUCGCGGAUCAGAAUGCCGCGGUGAAUACGUUCCCGGGCCUUGUACACACCGCCCGUCACACCAUGGGAGUUUGUUGCACCAGAAGUAGGUAGUCUAACCGCAAGGAGGACGCUUACCACGGUGUGGCCGAUGACUGGGGUGAAGUCGUAACAAGGUAGGCGUAGAUGA